UACUGGGGGCCUUAAAGCGCUUUCAAAUGUCACUGAGCAUGUCAGGGCACACAAUCGAGAUACCAAAAUGGCCGUCGCAGAAAGAAUAUAUGAAACUAUAUUUCGCUACUGACCAGGCGGCUACCGGGCUGAUCCCCAAGCUAAAGCACAGCAGGCGGUUCCGCGAUCUGAUAUUACUUUUGGCUUAAGGCUUUCAGCUCCAAGACAAUCCUUGAGUCAUCCCGUGAGGGUGCCUCAAAAUGGGACUAUAUAAAUACUCUUUCACUGAGGUAUAUUCCUUUUGAGAAGAAGCUUGAAGGGACUUAACUUCAAAGUUAAUCUGUUAACAAAUUACAAGUCCCACAGAACAACUUGCAAAUAACCAAGACCUUACGAAUUUCUUAAGAUUAAAAUCUAAAUCAAAUGAAUUCUAUAGAAUUAAUAGUUAAGUGUUGUGGAAACUAAUAAAGAUGUCAUUGGCCAGAGGAGACAAUCGGACGGCGAGACACAAACACAAUCCUAAACGGGUAGACUCCGAUCUAUGUGUGAGCCAUAAAAAUGGUUUAUAUCCAUGGUUAUGCCGAGGGCAAUUCAUAAUUUUCAUAAUUUACGCUUUGUUUGCCAAAACA
Molecule: long non-coding RNA, 608 nt
Organism: Drosophila kikkawai
Lineage: Eukaryota; Metazoa; Arthropoda; Insecta; Diptera; Drosophilidae
Source: RefSeq, a predicted model, not a curated record